CGCCCUGCAGCUGGGUUGCUUCUCGCGUGCCCCUUGUGAUGGGAGGAUUAGGUCGCAGGCUCCACCCUACGUCAUCCUCCCAAGCUUCUCAAGCGUCUGGCGCUUGGGGUCACUGCCCCCAAGGAGGCACCUGGAGGGGGGGAUGGCGUCCACUCUGAUGGGGAAUGAGGGCGAGAAGAAGAGCAGCUGGCCAUCUCAAGCUGCACCCUCCUUGAGAGGAGGUCCGGCUUCGUUGUCUCGUUCUGAGGAAUACCUGUCCCGGAUCAGUACAGAACUCAUGGAGGAGGCUUUGUGCACUGCUUGCUGCCACUUGAACCCUGUGCCCAUCAAAAAAAAGCAGUCACAAGACCAAGCGACUCAGAUAUCCAAACGCGCAUUCUUCACCAACACCUGAGGCACAGACACCUGGUGAGUGAGGCUUCAAGGGAGAUGCUCUUUGUCCUGGGAGAGAGCCCUCUCCCCUCUCUUCCACCAUCUCCUGCUCCGACAGAAACCGUACCUGCAGCAAGGCAUACCUCCUGCCAACUCCUGGUGAAAAGAACAUGCCUCAAAACUACUCUUUUGCCACUCGUUAACCACUUCCGUUUGUGGGGACCUCCUGGUCAUGAGCAGCAGCAUCCCGAAGCCUUCAAAGUGUUCUGGAUUCAUCACAGGACCCUCCAGCCUCAGCCAGCAAGGAUACCACCAGGAAUGAAAGUGCUUUAAUAAAGAGACAGGGUGUGCAUUGCU
This 729-nucleotide small RNA is filed under the name Pan troglodytes (chimpanzee). RNAcentral's name for it is "processed transcript". The record is from RNAcentral. Lineage: Eukaryota; Metazoa; Chordata; Mammalia; Primates; Hominidae.